AACGAACGCUAUCGGUAUGCUUAACACAUGCAAGUCGGACGGACUAAUUAGGGCUUGCUCCAAUUAGUUAGUGGCAGACGGGUGAGUAACACGUGGGAAUCUGCCCAUCAGUACGGAAUAACUUUUAGAAAUAAAAGCUAAUACCGUAUAUUCUCUACAGAGGAAAGAUUUAUCGCUGAUGGAUGAGCCCGCGUCAGAUUAGGUAGUUGGUGAGGUAACGGCUCACCAAGCCGACGAUCUGUAGCUGGUCUGAGAGGAUGAUCAGCCACACUGGGACUGAGACACGGCCCAGAAUCCUACGGGAGGCAGCAGUGGGGAAUAUUGGACAAUGGGCGAAAGCCUGAUCCAGCAAUACCGAGUGAGUGAUAAAGGCCCUAGGGUUGUAAAGCUCUUUUAGCAAGGAAGAUAAUGACGUUACUUGCAGAAAAAGCCCCGGCUAACUCCGUG
RNAcentral lists this ribosomal RNA (447 nucleotides) under uncultured bacterium. Its description in RNAcentral is "partial 16S ribosomal RNA". It matches the Rfam family "Bacterial small subunit ribosomal RNA", at positions 29 to 507 of the family's 1533-position model. The record is from RNAcentral.